Dipodomys ordii (Ord's kangaroo rat) is the source of this 72-nucleotide non-coding RNA. Lineage: Eukaryota; Metazoa; Chordata; Mammalia; Rodentia; Heteromyidae. The record is from Rfam.
GGGAAGGUGGCUCAGUGGUAGAGCGCUUGCCUUGUAUGCAUGAGGCCCUGGGUCCGAUUCCUCACCACCACA